AACGAACGCUGGCGGCAUGCCUAACACAUGCAAGUCGAACGUGAUCCGGGGCUUGCUCCGGUGAAAGUGGCGGACGGGUGAGUAACGCGUGGGAACCUGCCCAGUGGUCGGGGAUAACUGCGGGAAACUGCAGCUAAUACCCGGUAAGCCCUCGAGCGUUGGCUUGGGGGGAAAGAUUGAUCGCCAUUGGAGGGGCCCGCGUCGGAUUAGGUAGUUGGUGGGGUAACGGCCUACCAAGCCUACGAUCCGUAGCUGGUCUGAGAGGAUGAUCAGCCACACUGGGACUGAGAUACGGCCCAGACUCCUACGGGAGGCAGCAGUGGGGAAUAUUGGACAAUGGGCGCAAGCCUGAUCCAGCAAUGCCGCGUGAG
RNAcentral lists this ribosomal RNA (371 nucleotides) under uncultured bacterium. Its description in RNAcentral is "bacterial SSU rRNA". It matches the Rfam family "Bacterial small subunit ribosomal RNA", at positions 28 to 405 of the family's 1533-position model. The record is from RNAcentral.